This 388-nucleotide ribosomal RNA is filed under the name uncultured bacterium. RNAcentral's name for it is "bacterial SSU rRNA". It matches the Rfam family "Bacterial small subunit ribosomal RNA", at positions 28 to 417 of the family's 1533-position model. The record is from RNAcentral.
GACGAACGCUGGCGGCGUGCUUAACACAUGCAAGUCGAGCGGUAAGGCCCCUUUGGGGGUACACGAGCGGCGAACGGGUGAGUAACACGUGGGUGACCUGCCCUCAGCUCUGGGAUAAGCCUGGGAAACUGGGUCUAAUACCGGAUAUGACUCCAUGACGCAUGUUGUGGGGUGGAAAGCCUUGUGCGGCUGAGGAUGGGCCCGCGGCCUAUCAGCUUGUUGGUGGGGNGAUGGCCUACCAAGGCGACGACGGGUAGCCGGCCUGAGAGGGCGACCGGCCACACUGGGACUGAGACACGGCCCAGACUCCUACGGGAGGCAGCAGUGGGGAAUCUUGCGCAAUGGGCGAAAGCCUGACGCAGCGACGCCGCGUGAGGGAUGACGGCCU